UGGUGGAGUGAUUUGUCUGGUUAAUUCCGAUAACGAGCGAGACCUCAGUUUGCUAAUUAGUUGCGUGAAUCUUCGAUUCAUCUAGUAGCUUCUUAGAGAGACUAUCGGUGAGUAGCCGAUGGAAGUUUGAGGCAAUAACA
This 140-nucleotide ribosomal RNA is filed under the name uncultured eukaryote. Its description in RNAcentral is "partial 18S ribosomal RNA". It matches the Rfam family "Eukaryotic small subunit ribosomal RNA", at positions 1299 to 1458 of the family's 1831-position model. The record is from RNAcentral.